CUGAGGCUUCACUUGUCCUGCAGCCCCACCGGGGCCAGAGGAGGAAGAGGAGCUGCGGGAGCAGCGUGUCAAGUGCUUCAACAACUGCGCGGCCGCGGAGCUGAAGCUGGAGAGGGCGGACGAGGCGCUGGCGUCCUGCGAGGCGGUCCUCCGCAUCAGCCCGGACAACGGCCGGGCGCUGCUCCGUCGGGGGCAGCUGCUGGCGCAGCAGGGCCGGGACGAGGAGGCAGCUGUAGAUCUGAGGCGAGCCCUGGAGCUAGACCCAGCGAACAAGGUGAUCCACGCCGAGCUUUCACGGCUGCUGAACCGACGGAGCCCCCCAGACCACGCCGCCCCUUCGGAGCCCCACUAUGGCUCAACGCCGCCACCUCC
This is a long non-coding RNA of Dryobates pubescens (Downy woodpecker), 372 nucleotides long. RefSeq lists it as uncharacterized. The transcript has 3 exons. NCBI's taxonomy places the organism in Eukaryota, Metazoa, Chordata, Aves, Piciformes, Picidae. The record is from RefSeq and is a predicted model, not a curated record.